This 553-nucleotide small RNA is filed under the name Pan troglodytes (chimpanzee). RNAcentral's name for it is "retained intron". Lineage: Eukaryota; Metazoa; Chordata; Mammalia; Primates; Hominidae. The record is from RNAcentral.
GACAACCAGAAGGUGUACGCCGUGUACCGGGGCCCGGAGGAAUUGGGCGCCGGGCCCGAGAGCCCCCCGCGCGCCCCCCGCGACUGGGGCGCGCUGUUGCUCCACAAGGCCCAGAUCCUGGCGCUGGCAGAAGACAAAUCUGACCUUGAAAACAGUGUGAUGCAGAAGAAAAUAAAAAUCCCCAAGCUUUCUCUUAAUCAUGUAGAAGAAGAUGGAGAGGUUAAAGAUUAUGGGGAAGAAGAUUUACAGCUUAGACACAUCAAGGUAACAAAAUCUUUCCUUUCUUUGGAAGUAUGCGGGAGCAUUUUCAGAUAUCUCAUAGCUAAAGAGUUUCAGUCUGGCUUCCUCUCCCCAUGUAAAUGUCCCCUGGUAUCACAGGCUAUGAUUUUUUCAGGGUAGUGAAAGCGUGGGACAACUCGUGUGUAUUUGCCUUGCUGGCCAACUUUCUAGAGAGCCCUGAUUCAUGCUGUGCCACCAAGCUUGGUCCUGUUUGCACAGUCUGUGCAGUGUCAUCGCUGUUGGAGGUUUGGAACGGUGUGUUUCUCCUUGGCCC